RNAcentral lists this ribosomal RNA (253 nucleotides) under uncultured bacterium. RNAcentral describes it as "partial 16S ribosomal RNA". It matches the Rfam family "Bacterial small subunit ribosomal RNA", at positions 524 to 776 of the family's 1533-position model. The record is from RNAcentral.
UACGUAGGGAGCAAGCGUUGUCCGGAAUCAUUGGGCGUAAAGCGCGCGUAGGUGGCCAUGUAAGUCCGCUGUGAAAGUCAAAGGCUCAACCUUUGAAAGCCGGUGGAUACUGCAUGGCUAGAGUACGGAAGAGGAGAGUGGAAUUCCUGGUGUAGCGGUGAAAUGCGCAGAUAUCAGGAAGAACACCCGUGGCGAAGGCGGCUCUCUGGGACGGUACUGACGCUGAGACGCGAAAGCGUGGGGAGCGAACAGG